This 400-nucleotide ribosomal RNA is filed under the name uncultured bacterium. RNAcentral describes it as "partial 16S ribosomal RNA". It matches the Rfam family "Archaeal small subunit ribosomal RNA", at positions 473 to 873 of the family's 1478-position model. The record is from RNAcentral.
AUACCAGCACCCCGAGUUGUCGGGACGAUUAUUGGGCCUAAAGCAUCCGUAGCCUGUUCUGCAAGUCCUCCGUUAAAUCCACCCGCUUAACGGAUGGGCUGCGGGGGAUACUGCAGAGCUAGGAGGCGGGAGAGGCAAACGGUACUCAGUGGGUAGGGGUAAAAUCCAUUGAUCUACUGAAGGCCACCAGUGGCGAAGGCGGUUUGCCAGAACGCGCUCGACGGUGAGGGAUGAAAGCUGGGGGCGCAAACCGGAUUAGAUACCCGGGUGGUCCCAGCUGUAAACGAUGCAGACUCGGUGAUGGGUUGGCUUCGAGCCAACCCAGUGCCGCAGGGAAGCCGUUAAGUCUGCCGCCUGGGGAGUACGGUCGCAAGACUGAAACUCAAAUGAAUUGGCGGGG